ACGUUUUAACCCAGCGGGUGCUGUAAACAGUACGUUGGCGGUUCACACCAGUUCAGAAGUAAGGUAUCUUAAAUUGCACUCGACAAUGUUGUGAAUACUUUAAAAUGCUUGAAGCCAUACUUGAUGCCUUCCAUAACGUGUAAAGUAAGAAGUUAGCCUGUGUUAAAAAGUGGUGAUCCCUGCAGAUUACCAAGGCAUCCAGUCUCCCAGCAAGUGCCAAGAGGCAUUCAUUCAAUGCUCCGCUGACACCAAUUUGCCCAAAGCCACUGGAUGGUAUAUCAGUUCACACAGCAAGAAGCCAAGGACCCACCGAGGCUGUCACUUGGAAGAGGUCAUUGUUGUUGCAUCCAGCAUCCCAGCCUGACUGCCUAGACAGGUCCCGCAGGUUGCUGAAUGGCAGAGGUGCAGGCUGCUCCACAGCAAAAUGUGAGACCAGUGUGGCAGAGUAUGAUGUGUACACAAUGAGGGGACACACUGUAGCCAACCCAGUAGAUUACCCGUGCUGCACUGCUGAUUGGGUCCUCACCUUGUUGUAGGAGAGCUGACAACAUGUACCAGCCAGCAGCAACUCCCAUGCUAACAGGCUUCUCCCCCGUGGGUAUGUAGCACCUCUGGAGUCGCUCGAUGAAGAAGAGGAUGCUGGCGAGGCCUGUCGUGUUAGCCGGGAUGCGCCGGUACAGAGCUGUGUCCGUUGGGGUUGUGUAGGGCAAGCAUCUUCUUGGCAAGGUCCUCGUGGGUGGCCGCAAACAGUUUACGGCUGUGGGAUGAGAACUUGUCUUGUGAAUGUGACGUUGGGCAGCGUUCGACCGUUUCUCUAGGGGCAAGCGACACCUCCUGGUGGGGGACUUCAAAUCUGCUUGUGGCUGCCUUCGAGGUGUGUCUGUUGCUUAGGUGUGGAGGCAACAGAGUCCCUGGUGGAGCUGUGUGGGGAGCAGGCGCCCGAGUGUGGUGACGCGUACUGCCGCUGUGGCCGUGCAUUGCUGGAGCUGGCACGCAAGGAGGGCAGGGGUGCUGGGGCCAGAUCUGGAUGGUGCCAGUAGUCAGGAGGGAAGCACAGGGGAAGAGGAGGACGAGGAGGAAGAGAGUUAAGAGUCACAAGAGGAGGCGGAAGGUGGAAAGAAAGAGGAAGGAGAGGAGGAGGAGGAGGAAGAUGGGGAAGGAAAGGAGAAAGAUAAGAAGGAAGGAAAUGCCGCAGAAGGAGAAGAGCAAUAAGAAAUUAGAAUUGACAGAGAAACCAGACAAGGGACUGCAUUUGAAGAAGCACAAGAACCAAGAAAUUUACAUAGCUUUCAUUUUGGUUUACAUUCUGAAAGGUACAGAUACCAAGGGGAAAUUGCUGGGUCAAGUGGCUACACUGACAUCUGAGGUUAGCAGGUUGGAGAGUGAGUGCAGCAGUUCUCAGGUUCAGCUAGACUGUGAGAGGGAUAAGUAUAACAAACUGCUGGGAGAAAUCUCUUGCUCAUGAAAAGUUGUCUGAAGAUGUCAUAACUGAACCAAAAGGAGAAACAACAGGAUUGGGAGGAACUGAGCUUUAACAGAAGCUGCAACAACUGCAGGAGGCUCACAGGGUCCUGGAGAGCAGGUUAACUUGCAGCAUGAAGGAGGUGGCUGAGCUGAGUGACAGGAAGUAGCAGCUUGAGCAUGCUGUAGUGCAUGAGGAGACAGAGUCCAUCGGUGACUACAUCACCAUCUACCAGUUGCAGCGAGGAGUGAUGAAGCAACAAGCUCGAGAACGCGAGUUAGACCUUGCCAGCCUCCAUCAUGAAUGAGAGGAAAUGAAGCAAAACCACUCUGCAGGAUUUGAUAUCAAAGCUGGUGCAGGAAAAGGAAGCAGAUCAUGACCUUCAGCAGCUCGAGAAGAUAAGCAGCGUCCUUAAGAGUCCAGUUGCUAUCUUUAGCAGUGUUGGAACCAGUGAGUCUGAGACACCCACCAGCAGUGGAAAGGUGGCUGACGAGCGCCUCAAGCACUCUGAAAAGGUGGAGCAACAACAAGAAACAGAAAAUUGCAUCCAUCAUUCUUUGCCUGAGGAGGGAAUUGAUGCUCUGUUGACCCUUCACACUGAUGUCCCUCAUGAGGAGGCAGAAUAUGAAUCCUACAGAACUUGCCCAUAGAAAGACCAAAACUGUUACUGCUGCCACACUGCCACCACUUCCACUGACACCAAAAGCCCAACUGUGCAGAGAAUCCUGGACCUCCGCAAUGAAAUGGAGUCCACCAGUCACCUGGAGCACUUUAGCCUCCAAAAGUUCCAUCCGUGUCCAUUGUGUUUGGGUAAACUUAUCACUGUAUAAGGGGACAAGUAUCAGUGUAUGGUUACUAUAUACUCAUUUGUACUUAAAGAUGUCAUGUCACAUCAUUCUCUCUCUCUCUCUCUCUCUCUCUCUCUCUCUCUCUCUCUCUCUCUCUCUCUCUCUCUCUCUCUCUCUCUCUCUCUCUCUCUCUCUCUCUCUCUCUCUCUCUCUCUCUCUCUCUCUCUCUCUCUCUCUCUCUCUGUUUGGAAUUAUACUGUAUAUUAGGAAAUAUCAUUAAAGAGUGUGUGUGUAAAAAGUGUUUGCAUUAUUGUGCAUUUGAUGUUGGUUUCAUGAUUUAUAAAGAUUGCUAUUUUUAAUAAAGUUAUUGAAAUUGUUA
This is an RNA transcript of Scylla paramamosain (green mud crab), 2629 nucleotides long. RefSeq lists it as uncharacterized. NCBI's taxonomy places the organism in Eukaryota, Metazoa, Arthropoda, Malacostraca, Decapoda, Portunidae. The transcript is spliced from 12 exons. The record is from RefSeq and is a predicted model, not a curated record.